Lactuca sativa (garden lettuce) is the source of this 2082-nucleotide long non-coding RNA. RefSeq lists it as uncharacterized. NCBI's taxonomy places the organism in Eukaryota, Viridiplantae, Streptophyta, Magnoliopsida, Asterales, Asteraceae. The record is from RefSeq and is a predicted model, not a curated record.
GAACCGUUGGAAUUCGGAAGUCGAAAGGGUUGGGUCGAUGUAUUGGCGCUUAAUAUAUACCUUCUUCACUCAUCCGACUGUUCUCCAAACACCACCGGAGACAUGUUUCUUUGAAGAAGAAGAAGAAGAAGAAGAGGGUUUUAUUUGGAGGCACAACCUUCUCCUCUUUUUCUUCUAGCGACACCACCGCUUCCUCAUUUUUUCAUUUUCCCGCGUUCAAUAAUCCUCUGCGUUUCCCUCUUCGUCUCUUAGGUCUCUUUUCUUCGUUACUGGAUUCAUCGGUCAGUUUGGUUCAAGGUCAUCAUCGAUCAAGAAAAAAACACAGAUCUUUUUUCGCUCUGGGUUUCUUUCUCUUUCUCCUCCAUCUAUUUUUUUCUUUGUUGGUUUUUUGAAUUUUUGUUAUCAAAUUGAAUCCAAAGCAUGAAAGCAUCCAUCAAACGAAGAUGACUGGUCAAGCAAGUGGUGAUGUCGCUAAAAUUUGAAUAUUUUUGAAACCCAAAAAAAGUAUUUCUUUGUUGUUUGAUGUAAUGUCUUAAUUAACCUAAAGAGUUGUUUUGCUUUGUUUUGAGGGUAAAAAUGUUGCCGGAUUAAAUUAUGUAGAGAGAAGUAAAUAAUCACAAACCAAAUUAAAAUAUUAAACAACUUAUUGAAUUAUUAGAAAUUCAAUUAGGGAAAGAUAAUUUAUUGUUUGUGUUUCUAACUCAAUUAGAAAUAGAAGUGUACUUUGGUUCUAACUAAAAGUUGUGUGUUUCUGUUUAAUUAAGUUAUGUUUCCUUUCCAAUUAAAUUAAAAUACAUGAGAUGUUCCACUUCCACAACCAAAUCUGUUUAUAGAUGUUCACAACAUUCAUCACAUGUUAUAAUGCUUUCCUUUCCUAUUAAGUAACUUGUUUAAUAGCCAAAUGAAUGUGCAGGCCUUUUUGUUGUUUCUUCAACUGCCAUGGAUCCUAAGUAUCAACAAGUUUGUGGAUCUUUUUAACAUGAAUCAUUUACCCCUGCUUCUUCUUCUUAACGAUGCUGAUGUUUACUUUUAUAUAUCUGAUGGGGUGAUAAUCAAGUCUAUUUGGUGUAUAAAAUCAUUAUAUAUGCGAAUAUUGUUUAAAAAUUUCCUGUUUUUUUGUAGGAACCUCUUCAUUCAGCUGUGAUAUGCUUGAACAAGCAUCUUAUGGUUAUCUUUAUUUCAUUCGAACCGAUUAUUUGAAAAAAGUUUGAUGUGGUAAUGAAACAUAUGUUGGAAAUUGUGGCUUCUAGUCAUCAAUCAAAGCCAAUGCAAUAAUUUUGUUGCAUAUAUGUAGGAUGGAAUUAAGCACAAAAUCCAGCUAAAGAAUUAUUUAACAAAUCUCAAGACAUUGGAGAGAAGCCCUGUUAUGUUAUCUGGUUUCAUUAACAGAAGAGGCUAAUAAUAAUGCACAGGUAGUCUAAUUGCUUCUGCAUUCCAGUUAUAUAUUCUCAUGUUUUAUGUCUUUUGCAUCAAUCAUACACAUGACAAAUACCAAUUCAUUUGAGAAAUUCUAUUCAUUUCAAAAAUAUUUUCUGAACCACUUCCAUACAUUAAUCUGAGAUUGAUUGUUUUUCUUAAUUUCAACUUGUUUGUCAAAUUCCAUUCAUUACUCUGCAACAAGAAAAGGUUUUAGAAACCAAAUAAAGAACUUAUGUUAUGGUGGAGAAAAGGAAAAGAAGGUCCCCUGAGAAUCAAAGUGUCAACAUAUGUGGAUGUUCCUAAGAUGAAAUAUACAUCCGAUGAUCAACCAUCAUACCCUGUUGGUGUCAUUUGUGUGUGUACUACAAAGAUGAAGUGCAAACGUAUGUUAUGUAUAAAUAUAAUAAUCCUUAUUCUCUUCUCUUCUGCUUUUGGCAUGCAUUAGACUGAUGUCAAUGGGACACAAAUUCAAAAUUGCAAUUUUAUAGUUAACAUUUCUAAGAUUUUGUGUAAUUGAUGAAGAAGAAGGAUGCAUGGUUUGGCUUCAUACCUGGAGGGUGCUUAAAGAUUAUAUUCAUGGGUAAGAUAUAAUAAACUAAUCUUUAAUGUAAAACUUGAAAGAUACAAAUACAAUGGUGAAGGAAAUUGCAAUUAGAUUUAGAG